This 521-nucleotide ribosomal RNA is filed under the name uncultured bacterium. RNAcentral describes it as "bacterial SSU rRNA". It matches the Rfam family "Archaeal small subunit ribosomal RNA", at positions 345 to 866 of the family's 1478-position model. The record is from RNAcentral.
AACCUCCGCAAUGUGAGAAAUCGCGACGGGGGGAUCCCAAGUGCCAUUCUUAACGGGAUGGCUUUUCAUUAGUGUAAAGAGCUUUUGGAAUAAGAGCUGGGCAAGACCGGUGCCAGCCGCCGCGGUAACACCGGCAGCUCUAGUGGUAACAAUUUUUAUUGGGCCUAAAGCGUUCGUAGCCGGUUUGAUAAGUCACUGGUGAAAUCCUGUAGCUUAACUGUGGGAAUUGCUGGUGAUACUGUUGAACUUGAGGUCGGGAGAGGUUAGCGGUACUCCCAGGGUAGAGGUGAAAUUCUGUAAUCCUGGGAGGACCACCUGUGGCGAAGGCGGCUAACUGGAACGAACCUGACGGUGAGGGACGAAAGCUAGGGGCGCGAACCGGAUUAGAUACCCGGGUAGUCCUAACUGUAAACGAUGCGGACUUGGUGUUGGGGUGGCUUUGAGCUGCUUCAGUGCCGAAGGGAAGCUGUUAAGUCCGCCGCCUGGGAAGUACGGUCGCAAGACUGAAACUUAAAGGAAGU